This 89-nucleotide transfer RNA is filed under the name Bdellovibrionales bacterium. RNAcentral describes it as "tRNA-Leu". It matches the Rfam family "tRNA". Rfam says of the family: Transfer RNA (tRNA) molecules are approximately 80 nucleotides in length. Lineage: Bacteria; Pseudomonadati; Bdellovibrionota; Bdellovibrionia; Bdellovibrionales. The record is from RNAcentral.
GGCUCCGUGGUGGAACUGGUAGACACAAGGGACUUAAAAUCCCUCGGGCCUCACGGCCCGUCCCGGUUCGAUUCCGGGCGGAGCCACCA